AUGAAAUCAAACACUUACCAAUUUUACCAGUUGGUCAAAAUUUGACCUUGUGGGCGUUUUGUGGAACGACAACUGU
Molecule: transfer RNA, 76 nt
Filed under: Coxiella burnetii
Lineage: Bacteria; Pseudomonadati; Pseudomonadota; Gammaproteobacteria; Legionellales; Coxiellaceae
Description: tRNA-Phe
Source: RNAcentral